This 253-nucleotide ribosomal RNA is filed under the name uncultured bacterium. RNAcentral's name for it is "partial 16S ribosomal RNA". It matches the Rfam family "Bacterial small subunit ribosomal RNA", at positions 524 to 776 of the family's 1533-position model. The record is from RNAcentral.
UACGUAGGGGGCGAGCGUUGUCCGGAUUUAUUGGGCGUAAAGAGCGUGUAGGCGGUUUGGUAGGUCCGUUGUGAAAACUCGAGGCUCAACCUGGGAAUUGCAUUCGAGACUGAAUAGCUAGGGUACGGUAGAGGGAAGUGGAAUUUCCGGUGUAGCGGUGAAAUGCGUAGAUAUCGGAAGGAACAUCAGUGGCGAAAGCGACUUCCUGGACCAGUACCGACGUUCAGGCACGAAAGCGUGGGGAGCAAACAGG